GCCUUGCAUGCAAAUUAGAGGGUAUAGUUGAAUCGCCAGUUGUAAAUGGAUACCGGAACAAGUGUGAAUUUUCUGUUGGAUAUUCUCCGGAAGGCAAACCAACUGUGGGGUUUAUGCUUGGGAACUUCAGGGAGGGUGUGACUGCUGUUGAGGAACCUGCAGACUGCCCCAAUGUUUCUAGAAUUGCAAAUGUGCUGCAAUAUUUCAAGAGUUUCUACAACAUUCAGGCUUACCAAUUUGGAACAGAUUGAAUAAUACUGGAUUCUGGCGUCAGUUAACAGUUCGAGAAGGAAGAAAGCCAGGCAAGGAUGCUGAGGUUGAAGAUUUUGGGGCCAAUAUUUCAGAGGUCAUGCUCAUGGUUCAGGUUUAUUUCUAAUGAACCUACACUUUGAGUAUUCUCUUCACGUUUGUGGUUUUCUAUUGAACAACAUAGGAUGUUUCAAUGCUCUGGUAUUCUAUAUGUUAGAAAUUUUAAAAAAGGCUGAGUAGUAUUUGCUUUGCCAAAACUAGGGUUUAUAUAACUUACGCAAAAAAAAAAAAAAAAAUUACUGGGGUUUAUAUUAGAUUACAACCCUGAAUCUAAAAGGAAACAACUUAUUUGGAGAUACUCAUUAAAUAUAGUCCUUGCUUAAACCAAUCCAAUGAUAUCUGAUAAAACUAAAAACAAUUUUAUGGUGUAACAACAGUUCACCAUGGUCCAAUACAACCACUCAUGAUACUUCUCAUUCUCUAGUAC
Cornus florida is the source of this 736-nucleotide long non-coding RNA. RefSeq lists it as uncharacterized. The record is from RefSeq and is a predicted model, not a curated record. The transcript has 3 exons. NCBI's taxonomy places the organism in Eukaryota, Viridiplantae, Streptophyta, Magnoliopsida, Cornales, Cornaceae.